GUCUAUGGUCAUGCCAUCCUGAACAAGUCUGUUCCUGUCUGAUCUUGGAAGCUAAGCAAGGUCAGCCCUGGUUAGUACUUAGAUGGGAGACCACCUACAGAGACUAGGUGCUGUAGGCA
RNAcentral lists this ribosomal RNA (119 nucleotides) under Pteropus alecto (black flying fox). The record is from RNAcentral. Lineage: Eukaryota; Metazoa; Chordata; Mammalia; Chiroptera; Pteropodidae.